GUGGAGCUUGCUCCAUGAUUCAGCGGCGGACGGGUGAGUAAUGCCUAGGAAUCUGCCUGGUAGUGGGGGACAACGUUUCGAAAGGAACGCUAAUACCGCAUACGUCCUACGGGAGAAAGCAGGGGACCUUCGGGCCUUGCGCUAUCAGAUGAGCCUAGGUCGGAUUAGCUAGUUGGUGGGGUAAAGGCCUACCAAGGCGACGAUCCGUAACUGGUCUGAGAGGAUGAUCAGUCACACUGGAACUGAGACACGGUCCAGACUCCUACGGGAGGCAGCAGUGGGGAAUAUUGGACAAUGGGCGAAAGCCUGAUCCAGCCAUGCCGCGUGUGUGAAGAAGGUCUUCGGAUUGUAAAGCACUUUAAGUUGGGAGGAAGGGCAGUAAGUUAAUACCUUGCUGUUUUGA
RNAcentral lists this ribosomal RNA (403 nucleotides) under Pseudomonas sp. ERR562. Its description in RNAcentral is "bacterial SSU rRNA". It matches the Rfam family "Bacterial small subunit ribosomal RNA", at positions 73 to 472 of the family's 1533-position model. Lineage: Bacteria; Pseudomonadati; Pseudomonadota; Gammaproteobacteria; Pseudomonadales; Pseudomonadaceae. The record is from RNAcentral.